UGACAUGACUCUCGGCAAUGGAUAUCUCGGCUCUCGCAUCGAUGAAGAGCGCAGCGAAAUGCGAUACGUGGUGCGAAUUGCAGAAUCCCGCGAA
Molecule: ribosomal RNA, 94 nt
Filed under: Bromheadia finlaysoniana
Lineage: Eukaryota; Viridiplantae; Streptophyta; Magnoliopsida; Asparagales; Orchidaceae
Description: 5.8S ribosomal RNA
Rfam family: 5.8S ribosomal RNA
About the family: 5.8S ribosomal RNA (5.8S rRNA) is a component of the large subunit of the eukaryotic ribosome.
Source: RNAcentral